Molecule: long non-coding RNA, 4296 nt
Filed under: Homo sapiens (human)
Lineage: Eukaryota; Metazoa; Chordata; Mammalia; Primates; Hominidae
Description: non-protein coding AZIN1-AS1:1
Source: RNAcentral
CGGCGCCAGCGACGCCAGUAUUUAUAUUAGGGGGCGUGGCCUGGUGACAUCACAGCUGGCCGGGCAGCCGCGCGAGCGGGGCGGAACCCGGUUGCAGCCCGGAGAAAAGGGAGGGGGACGGAAGAGGAAGGAGGACUGAGCCCGGGAGAGAGAGGGGAGGGGUCGGCGCGCGACCGGGUCAUGCAGGUGCAGACUGGCCGGUCGCUUCCCGCCCUCCAGCCACCCGCAGCUCCCCGGCAGGCGAAGGGCGGCCGCGCGGGUGUGGGCCGAGAGAGGGAGGCGGCUCGGCUGGAGCGCGCCGUCCGCCCGACCCCCGCCGCCUCUCGGGCGCCUGCGCUCACGCUGCGGGGCCCAGCGCAUUGUGAGCCGGGUCGAGCUCCACGCUGGCAGCGUCUGAGAGCUGUCCUGGGCCGGAGGUGGCGCGAACCCUGUGCGGCCUAGAGUGGGCCUGGGGAAGCCAGCUGCCAUGUUCUGAGUACUCUCUGGAAGGGCCUGCAUGGCAAGGAACUGAUGUUUCCAGCCAGCAGCCAGCAAGAACUGCAAGCCUUGUGAAUGAGCUUGGAAGCAGAUCCUCCCCUCACUCAAGCCAUGAUAUGACAACAGCCUGAGACCCAGAGGAUGAAGGAGCCGAGGAAGACAGACAGAAUGUGGGAGAGGCUGGAGCUGGCUGAGAAGCAAAGACAAGGGGGACACAGAGGGACAAGCCACCCUGUCCCUGAGAAUUCCCCAGUUUUCUGGCCAAUUUGGGUGAAACCCAGCAACUCUUUGUGUUCCAUCCGUCGAUACUGUGAGGUCUCUCUAUACACUCAGUAAAUGCUCCUUUUUACCUCACUGGACUAAUGCUUUUUAGAGUCACAUGCAUGCUGACUUCAACAAAGCAAAUUGUUUAUCUGAAUCAACUCUGCCGUGUACCAUGUCCAGUCACUUGAAUUUCUAUUUCAUCUUUGACUCUCCAUUUGCUAAUUAUGACUUUGGGCAAAUCUUUUGUUCACUCUGUGUAUUUGUCCAUUUUCACAUUGCUGUAAAGAUACUGUUGAGACUGGUAUCUUUAUAAACUGGUAAUUUAUAAACAAAAGACGUUUAAUUGACUCACAGUUCUGCAUGGCUGGAGAGGCCUCAGGAAACUUACAAUCAUCUUGGAAGGAAAAGGGGAAGCAGGGCGCAUCUUACAUGGCAGCAGGCAAGAAGAAGAGAAAGGGGUAAGUGCCAGAUACUUAUCAAACAAGCCCAUCUCAUGAGAACUCACUAUCACGAGAACAGCAGGGGGAACUGCCCUCAUGAUCCAGUCACCUCCCACUAGGACCCUACCUUGACAUGUGGGGAUUACAAUUUGGAUUGCAAUUCAACAUGAGAUUUGUGUGGGGACACAGAGCCAAACCAUAUCACUCUGUGUCUCAGUUUCUUUAGUAGGUAAAAUGCAAUAAUUUCAUAUGGUGCUUUAUCAAUUUCCAUACAUUAUCUCAUGUGAAUUUUUAAAAAGUUCUUAUGAUACAGGCUAAGAAUUUUUCCCCAUGUUUUACAAACAAAGGAACUUUCCCAAGAUCUCACAAUUAAGUCCUAGUGAAAUGGGACUCAAACACCAGUCUCUGACUUCUAUCUACUCAGGUGGUCAUCAACUCUACCUCAGAGAAUAUAAAUUUUUUUUUAAUGGUAAGUCUUUGCAGAUUGAUUAAGAUCCCCUUGAGAAUUUUUGGUAAAAGACUUUGAAGUCAUAAGAGGUAACAGUGACUUCAUAUUAUAUUUGUAUGAGUCCUGUUUCAAAAUAUAUUGAUAAUGUGGCUGGGUGUGAUAGCUCAUGACUGUAAUCCAGCACUUUGGGAGGCCGAGGUGGGUGGAUCACCUGAGGUCAGGAGUUCAAGACCAGCCUGGCCAACAUGGCGAAACCCCAUCUCUACUAAAAAUACAAAAAUUAGCCAGGCAUGGUGGCACAUGCCUGUAACCCCAGCUACUUGGGAGGCUGAGGCAGGAGAAUCGCUUGAACCCAGAAGGCAGAGGUUGCAGUGAGCUGAGAUCAUGCCAUUGCACUCCAGCCUGGGCAACAAAGUGAGACUCCAUCUCAAGAUAGAUAGAUAGAUAGAUAGAUAGAUAGAUAGAUAGAUAGAUAAUGAAUUCUAUGAUAGGACCACUAGAGUGGAGAUCUGUAGUUCUAAUAAAGUACUUUAUUUCUAAAAAUAUGCAUAAUACUUGCCUGUGUCAUGGGCUUCAUGAAGAAUUCCAGUUACUAUCUGAAAGUUUAAUUGCAAGGUUUGGAGCUCAAGAUGUUACUUAUCCUCAUGGGCAGUACCUGUUACUUCCCCACUGUAAAAUAUGCUAGCUCAGGUCACAAGGAACUUUGAGUGCUAGGAUAGUACCCCACGGUCCAGUUCCCCAGAACUUCUUCCCAGUGUCUCCACAGCCACUCACACAGCCUGAGCAGGUCUUGCCACUGGCAGCUCUCUUCCCCUACUUCCUCCAGGCCAGGGGUUGGCCUGAUUCUGCUUAGAGCCUGCAUGCGGCUCCCUCAGAGCCUUGGGGUGGCCAAUCUUUGCUGCUUCCCAGAACCACCUUGUACUCUUCCAUGCAGAGCCCUGUUGAGUCACCAUGCCUUCCUCCAGCUGCUGCCACAGACCACAUGGCUUCUUUCUCAAUUAACUCUGAAAGAGAAAAGUACGUUAUGCAAACCAGGUGGGAGCACAAGAGCGCAACCCCCUUCCUCCCCAACACAGAGAAGCACACUGGGGCUCCUUGUGUAAUUUAGAGGUUAACUAACACAUCAUGUUGCAAUUGUGCCUAUGUGAAAAAGAAAUGGAAGGAGGAACCAGGUUUGGAGCUGAUUCUCUGCUGCAAGGGCUUACCCUCAGUCUGACCUGUGCAGUAAGACUGAGAGAAGCACUAAGGGUAUGGCUGGAAAAGAUCAUAAUAUUAAAACUAUUUUACUAUAAUGAUGAUAGCUACCAUUGUAGUGAUAUGCAAUAAUAUUAGUAACACUGAAGUCUUUACUAUAUGCCAUCCUGUGUGUUAAAUCUUUUAUGUAUGUUGUGUAUAUAAUACAUGUAAAGCCUUGUUGUUGUUGUUUUUGAGACAUAGUCUCACUCUGUCGCCCGGGCUGGAAUGCAGUGGCGUGAUCUCAGCUCGCUGCAACCUCUACCUCCCAGGUUCAAGCAAUUCUCCUGCCUCAGCCUCCCGAGUAGCUGGGACUACAGGCGCCUGCCACCACGCCCAGCUAAUUUUUUUGUAUUUUAGUAGAGACAGGGUUUCAAUGUGUUGGCCAGGCUGGUCUUGAACUCCUGAGCUCAGGCAAUCUGCCUGCCUCGGCCUCCCAAAGUGCUAGAAUUACAGAUGUGAGCCACCGCACAUAGCCCAUGUAAAGCCUUUAACAUAGUGCCUGGCACAAAGUAAGUGCUCAAUAAAAGAUAAUCAUAGCAUUAUUAUUUUGUUUAUCUUCACAGCCAUCCUGAAUUAUUUGACAAGCCUUUGCUCUUCAGUCAGUCGUUCCUUUAGGGAAUGUUUAUUGAGCCUGUACUAUUUACCCAGCACUAUAUAUAUAUAUAUAUAUAUAUAUAUAUAUAUAUAUAUAUAUAUAUAUAUUUUUUUUUUUUUUUUUUUUUUGAGACAGAGUUUUGCUUUUGUUGCCCAGGCUGGAGUGCAAUGGCUCGAUCUCGGCUCACUGCAACCUCUGUCUCCUGGGUUCAAGCAAUUCUGCAGCCCCAGCUUCUCAAGUAGCUGGGAUUACAGGCGCCUGCCACCACGCCUGGCUAAUUUUGUAUUUUUAGUAGAGAUGGGGUUUCACCAUGUUGGUCAGGCUGGUCUUGAACUCCUGACCACAGGUGAUCCGCCUGCCUCAGUCUCCCGAAGUCCUGGGAUUACAGACAUGAGCCACUCCACCCAGCCUUCCGAGCACUAUAUUAGGCGCUGGGGAUACUUAGAAGAGUGAAUGCCCUUUCGGACAUGGGUUCCAAUCUGGCUUAACCACUAUCUUUCUGGGUAACUUUGAGCAUGCUUCUUAAGCUUUCUGAGCCUGAGUUUAUUCAACUGUUAAAUAUGUACAAUAAUUUCUAUGUCAUAAGAUUGUUGAUAGGACUGGAAACACAUGCAAAGGGCUUAGCCCAGCUCAGUGUUCAUACAAGGAGAAGCUCCUCAGCCAGGCCUGCUGGCUCACGUCUGUAAUCCCAACACUUUGGGAGGCUGAGGCAGGUGAAUCAAUUGAACUCGAGAGUUCGAGACCAACCUGGGUAACAUGGCAAAACCCUAUCUCUACAAAAAAUACAAAAAUUAGCUGGGUGUGGUAGUGCCUGCCUAUAGUCCCAGCUACUCAGG